GGGAAGGUGGCUCUGUGGUAGAGCGCUUGCCUUGCAUGCAUGAGGCCCUGGGUUCGAUUCCUCAAUACCCCA
Molecule: non-coding RNA, 72 nt
Organism: Dipodomys ordii (Ord's kangaroo rat)
Lineage: Eukaryota; Metazoa; Chordata; Mammalia; Rodentia; Heteromyidae
Source: Rfam